ACAAGUCACCACCACCCCCAACUCCCGUUUACAAAUCACCACCACCACCAGUGAAGCCAUACCAUCCCGCACCAGUAUACAAGUCUCCACCACCCCCAACUCCCAUUUACAAAUCACCACCACCACCAGUGAAGCCAUACCAUCCUAAACCUGUGUACAAGUCUCCACCACCACCAGUGAAGCCAUAUCAUCCUACACCCGUCUACAAGUCUCCACCACCACCAACUCCCGUCUACAAGUCACCACCACCACCAGUGAAGCCAUACCAUCCUACACCCGUCUACAAGUCUCCACCACCACCAACUCCCGUCUACAAGUCGCCACCACCACCAGUGAAGCCAUACCAUCCUACACCCGUAUACAAGUCUCCACCACCACCAACUCCCGUUUACAAGUCACCACCACCACCAGUGAAGCCAUAUCAUCCCUCACCAACACCAUACCACCCUACACCAGUAUACAAGUCUCCACCACCACCAACUCCCGUUUACAAGUCCCCACCACCACCAGUAAAGCCAUACCACCCUUCACCAACACCAUACCAUCCUAAACCAGUAUACAAGUCUCCACCACCACCAACUCCAGUCUACAAGUCUCCACCACCAACCCACUAUGUUUACUCCUCUCCCCCUCCUCCCUACCAUUACUAAGAAGUGAGUUUACUAUAUCUGAGGUAAUUAAGAUGAACUUAAACCUUUACAAACAUAUAUAACUAAAAUGCAAUGCAAUAAUAAGUUGCACAAUUAUUUCUUCUCUUUUGGUUAGUUUCUUUUAUAUGUUCUCAUUCACAAUAUUAUAUUGUUAUGCAGGAAAAGCAUAAUGUUGAGCUGAAAGAAAGGCAUUUUCCAUUUUCAAGAAGAAAAUUAUAGUAAAUAAUAAGGCUUACAGAAGAUCAGACGAAGUUCUUUUGUAGCUUCAUGUUAUCUAACUUGUCUUAGUGAUAUAUUGUUUUUGUACUCUAUUUUUAUAUAUUACUUUUAUGUGUCUUUGUGUAUGUUUGCUCACUUUCAAUCUUCUUGCAAAAUGCAGAGAUUAAUUAUGAGAUUAUCAUGAAUAAAAUAAGUUAUUACUACUCCCAUAUGUUUUAAUUAACUUCUCAUCACAAUAUAUAUUACCUUUGUUUUCAUUUUAUCAUGUGCUCAUAUUUAAUUUAUAAAAUUAUAAUGUGAACACAACAUUUACAAUUUUUUUCAAAUAGAACUAUUUAUAUAUAUAUAUAUAUAUAUAUAUAUAUAUAUAUAUAUAUAUAACAGGAUGCUCAAAUUAAUAACCAACGAAUUUCAUGUACUUAUGGUUAUAAUUCAAUCAAAUUCGAGUAUUGUAGUCCAUUUACGAUAACAAAAUAAAAAAAUUAUUUAAUAAUCACAUAAUACGUUGUUAAACUUUUGUAAAGUAUAUGAUUUCAGAAGCUCAAACAAAAAAUUACAAUCCAAAUAUUUUAAAAAUAAUAGUUUAAAAUUUUCACGCAUCACAUAAAUAUAUAUACUUACUCCAAGCCUAUCCUAUCCGAAAUUUUCAGCUAUUGAUGUAGCCUCUUGUCGAUACUACUAGUCUUCUCGCUACCUACUAGAAAAAUUCCAUCAAAAUAGAUUGAAUCGACGACCUAUACUUCAACUAAAGGCACGAGGGCGUAGCGAGCUUAACUAUUAUCGUAAUAUAAGAUGAAAUCCACCCAUUUUGAUAUCACAUACACGUCUUUAAAACUGAUAAAAUAAUGAGGUCUACUCUUAGUCAAAAUUAAAUGAUUGUAGACCACAUCUACAGUUCCCAAUUGUCAACAAUUCGAUCCUCCGCGUUUGUGGUAGGUUUCACUUUCAUUUCUUCGGUUCGAUUUUAUCAAAUUUUAAUUUGAUUCUUUAAUUUUUAAUUUUGGAAAAAUGUGUAUGGAAUGUUGAAUCGAAUUAAUUUGUUUAAUUAUCUUUUUAAAAAAUUAGUUUAAAACAAAAAUUGAAUUUCAAUAAAAUUUAAUGAAAAAAUUAUUCAAAUUGAUUAGGUAACCUUUUAAGUCAAAUAUCAAUAGUUGAAUAAUUUUAUAGGUAAAAUAUUCAUAAUUGAGUGACUUUGAGAUCAUACAAGAAAAUUGAGUGACUUUAUAAGAGAAAAAAUCUUAGUUAAAAUAAUUUUUUAUGAGAAAAAAUUCUUAAGUAACUUUAUGGCAUUAUAAAAAAAAAUUAACUCCUCUUUAAAUUAGAAUUACAAAAUUAAAAGUAAGUUCCAUUUUAAAGAUAAGGACAUUAUUAGUAAAAAUAAUUGGUGAACAUUUUCCAAUGAAAAAAUAAUAUUUUUCUAAAAUAGCUAAUAGAUGAUAAUUCGUUUCUUAGGCGUAAAAAUGUUAGGACAUGUUAGCCUCACUCAGUUGAAUAAAUUGCUCACCAAGAACAUAAUCAUUGAAUAUCCUAAAACAAAGUUUAAAAAUGAAUUAAAAAAAAAAUCAGUAAUAAAAAAAUACAUGCAAACUAUCUACAAAUGUAUUAUUAUUAAUUUUUAAAUAAAAAAGAGUAAAUGAAAGAGAAUAGAAGAUCUUUGACUUGUUAAUUAAGACAAAUAUUUGUCUAAUAUAAGUAUGUCGGUAAUAACAAUGUAGACUAAGAUCUGUACUUGUUUAUAUAUCCAUAUCCCUUAAUGUUAGGACCAUUAAAAUUAUUAAUUUAGUUUAACUAAUUAAUGGGAUCUUAUAAAUACAUUAAUAAUAUUACUGUUGUCGGUGAUUAAGUUAAUGCUAAUACUUAAUUGUUUUUUUUUUCCAAUUAAAAUGUCAAAGUCGUUAGAUGAACCAAAAUGGAAUCGUCCAUGAAGAUGGUACCAGAGUACAAUUAUUGAAUAAUAUCUUUUUUUUUUAACUUCAAAAAUUAAAGUGGAAUUCAAUUACCUACUUUAUAAAUGUAUGGCAACUUGGCAAUAAUUCAUUAAAUUUCAGGAAGAACAAAAACCAUCGAUAAUUGAGAUUAAUUUAAGAGAUAAAUGUCAAAAACACAUUUAAUAUAUUACAUAUUUUAAAAAAAUUCAUACUUCACCCCGUCUCUUUUCGAAAAAAUUGAUAUUAUUUUAUUUUUUUAAAAAUAGGAAUUCUAUCCAUCCUAUAUAACCUCCUGUACCUAAUUUUUUUAUAUAUAUUUUUGUGAGUUUGUAUUAGAUAUGUACAUAUAUUUUUAGGAAUUCUUUCUACUUGUGUACCAAAUAUAAAGUAAAUAAAACAUUUAUUUUUUAAAAAAGUCUUGAGGCCGUGGCAAAUAAAAAUUAUUUUCAAUAUGUUUAUAUCUAACACAAAAGGAGAAAAAGUUCGAAAGCGGACGGUUAGGUGGGGUAGGUAUAUUUUUUUUAAAGCAAAUUAGUAUAUAUAUUUUUUUGUGUGUGUGGGGUUGGGGGGGGGGGGGGGGUAAAAAAAAGUUAAAUACCUUUACAAAAGAAAUUUAAACAAAAAAAACUAAAAAAAAAAAGGGUGGGGGGAGGGUUGGACGGUUAGAGAAAGUGAUGGAGUGGGUAGGGAGGCGAGCAAAAUUGGGAGGGAGACGAGCAAACUUUGUACGUAUCGUAACCCAGAACAUGUGAAUCAAGCAAGAUACACACUAGGUACAUGUAUUUGUACGUGUCUAGAGGAAUUCACAUAUAUCUGGGAUAUCAUAUUCUUGGAAGAAUGACGAGCAAAAUGGAACAGAGGCAAGGAAGGAAAACGAGAUAUACUAUGUAUCCCAAAUACAUGCGAAUUCAAUAAAUAUAAUGUAUCUAGAACAAAUUACACCUAAAUUUGAUCGAGAUAUUCGAGAUACAUGUAUCUCAAGGCACCAAAAUCUGAUUUUUAUAUAUAUAUAUAUAUAUAUGAAAGUUUAUGUGAUCGAUAAAACUAAUAGCUUAGUAUUUCAAUGGUAUCAUUUCUACACAAAAUAGUUCUACCUCAAUUUAUGACAAAAAUGAUUUUAUUUAUAUGAGAUCAAAUUUAUAGGGUUUCGAUGACCAUGAUAAAACAGGAGAAUGUACAAAAAUACUUAAGUCCUUGUUUAUAAUAUACCAUUUUGCCAAAAUAUUUGUAGCUCGAUUAACUUUCUUAUAGAAAUGUUGAACCUUUCAAAUAAUAGUGCUUGAUAUAAUGAUAUAUUGUAAAUAUGAAAAGUGAUGUUUUUCAUUUUCCAAAGAAUACCACUAAAAUAGUUCUUUCUAACAUCAUGUAUAAAUUUUUAUGCAAGUAAAACAUUUUAAAUAAUAAUCUACGAAACUUGUUAUUUGAUCCUCAUAGAUAUUAUAACAUUUAGUUUUAGUGCUUAUGAAAAUAAUUUUGUUAGAACAAUAUUUCCAUUAUACGUAUAAAAAGUUCACAUUGUUCUUUGUUUUUAAAGAUACAAUAUCCUAAUUAUUUCAUUGUUAUUCCAUCUCUAUUAUUCAUUGAGCAUAAUUUGAAUAAUUUAUUUUUAUCAUAUUAUUACCAAUAUAAUCAUAGAAAGUCAAAUAAGAAAACUAAUUUUCCUUGUUACUAUUUCUUUGAUUAAUUGGAAUUAGAGACGACUAGUUAUUAUUAUGAGCAACUUUCACAUAUAGCAAACAAAAAAUUUAUAUUUGUAUGCUAAUUAAGCUCCAUAGCAAACAUAAAACUGUAUAAUUUGCUAUACAUAUACAAUUGUAUAAUUCGCUGGCCUAUUUCGCUGCAAUAGUAUAAUUUGUUUUGCAUACAGUUGAAUCGAAUUAAAAUGUAUGUAUAUUGCAUAAUUAUAAGUGUAUAGCAAGAAGAUAUAUGUUUUUCUCGCUUUAUACAAAAACAGAAACACAAUAUAUACACUUUUGUUGUAUAAAGCUAGAGAAAAUUGUAUUUCACUGCAAUUGUAUAAUUCGCAAUUGUAUAAUUCGUUGGCCUUUUUCUCUGCAAUAUUUGAAGUAAAAUGUUUGCAAAUUGUGUAAUUAAGUGUAUAACAUGAAGAUAUACAUUUUUGCAUGUGUAUAUACAAUUUUCUCUCGCUUUAUACAAAACAGAAACAGAAUUAUACACUUCUGUGUAUAAAGCGGGAGAGGCGAGCGAGAAUGGAGAGUGGCGAGCGAGAUUUUUGGGAGAGAGACGCUGGCAAAUUUUAGCUAAUGUUUGCUAUGGAGCAAAAUUAAAUCAAAUCCUAGCUAUUCCAUUUAAUUUAGGUUAUUAGUUUGCUAUUAUAUACAAUUUUUUCUAUUAUUAUUAAUCGGAUGCAUUUCACUCCGCACAUAAAUAACUUCCAAUAAUUUAAUAUUAAUUAUAUAUGCUCUAUUAAAUAAUUUUUAAAUAUAAAAUAAUAUUAUGGUAGAUUUGGGGGUGUCAAAAUCAAGUCAAUUUGUCAAACUCCCCUAUUCCAUUUAAUUUAUCAACUUUAACUCAUCUCAACCUAAUUUAGUUUAAUUCAUAUUUAAACAGUGAAUUGAUAUAUAAUUCAAAUUAGCUUAUCAAAAUAUUUUUAAAAUAAUAUUUUUAAAAUUUGAUAUGUUAUAUAUAGUCGUAAUAAAGAAAAAAAUAAACUUAUUAGGUGCUAAAAAAUUUUAAAAAGAGCAAACUAAACAACUAAAUUUUAGUAAAAAUUGAAGGGGUUAUAUUAGAAAUCGAAUUUAACUUAAUUAUGUCCAAUUCAUUUCAAUUCAAAUAGACAAUAGCUAAUGAUCCAUUCAUUUGUUAACUCAUUAAAAUUCAAUCGGUUCAAAUUCAGGUCAACUCUCCUAUACCAAACUUCUAGUAGAUCUUAAUCAAUAAAAAUUUGGACACGAAAACAAUUCAUUCAUUUCAUCCAUCAAAUUAUUAAUAAGUGACACCAUCUUAGCGACCCAGUUCAUUGUAUUAUAUUAAGAAAAAAUAACUUAAAUACACAAUUAUAAGUUUUAUAUUUUCUAAUUUUCCCUUCUUUUUUUUAAAUAUUACAUAAUUUCCUUUUUUUAAAAUUUUAGUGUAAGUUUAUAGAUACAUUACAUUCUCUCUCCUAUAGUACACAAUUACCCAUUUUAAUGCCUAUUUAUUCUCCAUUAAAACACUCAACCUUUUAAAUAAAAGACCUAAUUUUGAAUUUCAAAAUUCAAAAAAUUUCAAAUUUCAAAAAUCAGGUUCUCCCGUUUUUCUUACUCCAUCAAGUUUCACUUCCUUUUUUUCCAUAAUCAUCUUCCUUCUUCUUAACCUAGCAGAAUUUAUUGGUUUCUUCUUUUUAUUCUUAAUCCAUCAUCUUUUUCUUCUUAAUCUGUAAUCGUCUUAACCCAAUAUCUUUUUAUUAUUAAUCCAUCAUCAGUUCGUCUUUUCUUCUCUUUUUUCUUUUUGUUAAUUGUUCUAUUACAUUAUAGUAAUGGAUCCGUUAAUUAAUAGAAGGAUAUAUGAUUCCGACGAUGAAAAUUGGAAAGAAAAUAGGAAAAAGUUUUUGCAUGAUCCUAUGAAUCUUCAGAAGGAUUCAAACAAAGACUCUGGCGAAACAUCAAAAUCAAAGGUUAUCAAAAUACAACAAAAAAAGAAAAAAGAAGCAGCAAACAUUGUUGUUAGGCCUACAUUGUCUCGGGUUAGUAUUUUGGUACUUAAAACUGUUGUUGAAAUUAGUAAAAAUUUUAAGGAAUCUAGUGUGCUUGCCGAUACAUUUGAAUAAGUGUGUAUAGUGUUUUAGAGGUGAAUUGAUACAUGAAUUUAUUGUGUAUCAUAAUAUUUUAUAUGUAUCAUGAAGUUUUGAAAAUUGUUAUAAUGUAUCAUUCAAUAAGUUUAGUAAAUACGUCAUCAACUGUGCUUGAUGAUACAUAUAGAAUCAGUGUGUACGGUGUUUAGUCAAUUCACUGAUACAUGUAGGAGAUAUGUAUCACAUGUUUUGCAUAUAGUAUGAAUUUCUGAAAACUGAUAUCAUGUAUCAGUAAGGUAUUAGUUGUUUAGUUGAUGUACUGAUACAUGUUUGAAAAUUGUUAUAAUGUAUCAUUCACUAAGUUUAAUAAAUGCGUCAUCAACUGUACUUGAUGAUACAUAUAGAAUCAGUGUGUAUAUUGUUUAGUCGAUGUUUCUGAUACAUGCAUUAGAUACGAAAUUGAAUCUCCAACAACGAUUCCGUCGAUUUUGUAACUUUCAUACUGCAAUUCGUUCACCUAAAUUCCGGAAUGUCUCAUCAAAAUCGAAGUAUUCAUCUUGAAAAAUCCACUGUAACAACAAUAAAAUUACUGUAGUUCGAAAUUUAACAGAUUGUUCAAAAAAAUUGUUUUCAAAAUAGAUGACAUAAUCUUUGUUUUUCAAAAUUUGAAAUUAAUAUCCAAUUAAGUGCUUAUUUUAUGCUGAUUAAUGAUAUGUUACCGUAAAUUUAGCUGUUUUAUUAACAACAUUAACUGUACCGUUUUCCCCCUUUUUUUUCUCAACAGUUUAAAAUUACCAUGUAUCAUUUACCUUGUAUCACGAGAGUCUAAAGUAUCACGGCUCAACAAAUUUAAGAGAUUUUUUGUAAAUACUAAAUUUGUCUGGACAAAAUGAAAUUAUUGAAUUACACUAUAGGAUUCCUUAAAUUUUUACUUAUAUUAAUCUUUAGUAUGGGGACCUAAAUAUUUAACUUUCCAAUUCCUUUAGGGGUCAAUUUGAUUGAUUAUAAUGAGUGAAUUAUACUAUAAAAAUUGAAAUAAUAAUUAAUGUUUGUAGAGCAUAUUAAAUUAUUUUAUCAUGACUACAGUUGGUGUUAAUUGAAUUGGAAAUAAGAUAUAUACGGUAUAUAAUAUAUAUAGAAAUUUUAAUUUGAUUCGUUGAUUUUGUAUUUUCAGACAAAUUUUAUUUUUAAUUUUACCUUUCUUAAAGAACUUUUAGUUUGGUUGUUUUAUCAUGGAAUUAGCUAAUUAUUAAUCUAGAGAAUUGCUAUUCCAUAUACAACUUUGGUACAAUUAGAGAAUUAUAAUAUAAUUAAUUUCAAAAUUACUUAUAUUUAGGAACAAAAGUUUCAAUCAAACGAUAAAUAAUUGAAUAUUUUAUCUCAGAAUUAGUAUUAUUAUUAUUAAUACUAAUUAACGAUCCUAAGUUUCGAUUUUGUCACUCCGGUCCUUUUCUUUUAAUCUUUUCACAAACCAACUACAUUUGAUUGCAUUAACUAUAAAGUCCAUUUGCAUUAUUUUACAUAUCAAUUAAUAUUACUAAACUAAAUUUAUCUAUAAUUACUGAUUUAAAUGUAUACCUAUUUUCUCACCAACAUGGCAUAUAUAUUAGACUCAUUAAAAUUAAACGUUGCUUCAUGUGGUGUGUUCAAUUGGUUAGACUAUCUCGUCAAAUAUAUUGUUCGCAAAUAAACAAUGCUCAAAUGAAUGAUAUUAAUGUUGUUGGUGAAUAUUACAAGCUUCUCGUAACGUUUUGUUAGCUUACGUAUGAAUGUGCAAUAUUAUUUCUACUUAUUUUGUCAAACACUAAAAAAGUAAGUAAAAAACUUGUUUAUGUGAGAUAAUAUUUUUCUUUGUACCUAAAAAGUGCAUUAAUUUAUAUAGCUAAAAUAGUGCAAAGUUGAGGCCUCCACGCAUUAUUUUUGGUGAGAAGAAGAAUGAGAAGACUUUCUAUCUCUUUGAAUUAUUGCAUCACAAACAGUAUAGCUGCCUUAAUAGUUUAUUCAUUUGCUUAGCUUAAUGCCUCUAUCCAUCAAAUUAAAUAUACAACUAACAAGACAAAACCAAAUGAAAAUGCAUAACUCUAGGAUUUUACCUACAUUUGUAUAAAUUUUGGUAAGGGUAUCUGUCUAAAUGAAAACUAUAUAAAGGGGUUUGAGUGAAGCUUAAGAUGACAACAACUUUCUCCUUUGUUUCGAAUAUGGGGAAAAUGGCCUUUCUAGUUGCCACCCUUUUAGUGGUUUUAGUGUCACUUAGCUUAGCAUCUGAAAUUUCAGCUAAUUAUCAAUACUCAUCUCCCCCACCACCAAAGGAGCCAUACCACCCUUCACCAACACCAUAUCAUCCCACACCAGUUUACAAUUCUCCACCACCACCAAAAGAGCCAUACUACCCUCCACACACUCCAGUGUACAAGUCGCCACCACCCUCGACACCUAUUUACAAGUCGCCACCACCACCCAAAGAGCCAUACUACCCUCCACACACCCCUGCCUACAAGUCACCACCUCCACCAACUCCAGUUUACAGGUCGCCACCACCUCCCAAGGAGCCAUACUAUCCUCCACACACACCAACCUACAAGUCGCCACCUCCACCAACUCCCGUUUACAAGUCACCACCACCUCCAAAGGAACCAUACUACCCUCCACAUGCACCAACCUACAAGUCGCCACCACCUCCCAAGGAGCCAUACUACCCUCCCCACACCCCAACCUACAAGUCCUCACCUCCACCAACUCCGUUUUACAAUUCACCACCACCUCCCAAGGAACCAUACUACCCUCCUCACACACCAACCUACAAGUCGCCACCCCCACACAAGGAUCCAUACUACCCUCCACACACACCAACCUAUAAGUCACCACCUCUACCAACUCCUGUUUACAAGUUGCCACAACCACCCAAGGAGCCAUAUUACCCUCCACACACACCAACCUACAAGUCACCACCUCCACCAACUCCCAUUUACAAGUCACCACCACCUCCCAAGGAGCCAUACUACCCUCCACACACACCAACCUACAAGUUACCACCUCCACCAACUCCCGUUUAUAAGUCGUCGCCACCACCAUCCAAAGAGCCAUACUACCCUCCACACACACCAACCUACAAGUCACCACCUCCACCACCUCCCGUUUAUAAGUCUCCACCACCACCCAAGGAGCCAUACUACCCUCCACACACACCGACCUACAAGUCACCACCUCCACCAACUCCCGUUUACAAGUCCCCACCACCUCCUAAGGAGCCAUACUACCCUCCACACACACCGACCUACAAGUCACCACCUCCACCAACUCCCGUUUACAAGUCCCCACCACCUCCUAAGGAGCCAUACUACCCUCCACACACACCAACCUACAAGUCACAACCUCCACUAACUCCCGUUUAUAAGUCGUCGCCACCACCACCCAAGGAGCCAUACUACCCUCCACACACACUAACCUACAAGUCACCACCUCCACCAACUCCUGUUUAUAAGUCGCCACCACCACCCAAGGAUCCAUACUACCCUCCAAACACCCCAACUUACAAGUCGCCACCUCCACCAACUCUCAUUUACAAGGUUCCACCACCAGCCAAGGAGCCAUACUACCCUCCACACACACCGACCUACAAGUCACCACCUCCACCGACUCCCCUUUAUAAGUCCCCACCACCUCCUAAGGAGCCAUACUACCCUCCACACACACCAACCUACAAGUCACCACCUCCACCAACUCCCGUUUAUAAGUCGUCGCCACCACUACCCAAGGAGCCAUACUACCCUUCACACACACCAACCUACAAGUCACCACCUCCACCAACUCCCGUUUAUAAGUCUCCACCACCAACCAAGGAUCCAUACUACCCUCCACACGCCCCAACCUACAAGUCGCCACCUCCACCACCUCCCACUUACAAGUCGCCACCACCACCAAAGGAGCCAUACUACCCUCCACACACACCAACCUACAAGUCAUCACCUCCACCAACUCUCAUUUAUAAGUUGUUGCCACCACCACCCAAAGAGCCGUACUACCCUCCACACACACCAACCUACAAGUCACCACGUCCACCAACUCCCAUUUAUAAGUCGUCGCCGCCGCCACCCAAGGAGCCAUACUACCCUCCACACACACCAACCUACAAGUCACCACCUCCACCAACUCCCGUUUAUAAGUCGCCACCACCACCCAAGGAUCCAUACUACCCUCCACACACCCCAACCUACAAGUCGCCACCUCCACCAACUCCCGUUUACAAGUCGCCACCACCACCCAAGGAGCCAUACUACCCUCCUCACACACCAACCUAUAAGUCACCACCUCCACCAAGUCCCGUUUACAAGUCGCCACCACCACCCAAGGAUCCAUACUAUCCUCCACACACCCCAACCUACAAGUCGCCACCUCCACCAACUCCCGUUUACAAGUCGCCACCACCACCCAAGGAGCCAUACUACCCUCCUCACACACCAACCUAUAAGUCACCACCUCCACCAAGUCCCGUUUACAAGUCGCCACCACCACCCAAGGAGCCAGACUACCCUCCACACACCCCAUCCUACAAGUUACCACCUCCACCAAUUCCCAUUUACAAGUCGCCACCACCACCAACUCCUGCCUACAACUCUCCUCCACCACCUUACUAUCUUUACACCUCUCCCCCUCCUCCCUACCAUUACUAAAAAGCCACUUCAUUAUAUCGAGGUAAUUAAGACAAACUAAAACUAUUACUAAUGAUGUGUCUAAAAUGCAAAGCAAUAAGUUGCUCAAUUUCCUCAUGCAAAUCAUUAAUAUAUAGACCUAUGCAGUCUAUAUUCUUAUUUGGAUAACUUUAAUUACAUGUUCUCAUUCACAAAAUUAUAUUCUUAUGCAGGAAAAGCAAAAUGUUGAGCUUAAAGAAAGGCAUUUUACAUUUUCGAGAGACGAUGAAAAAAGAAGAAAACUAUAGUAAAUAAUAAGCCCCACAUAAGUCGAAGUUCUUUUGUAGCUUCAUGUUAUCUAAGCUAGUGAUACUGUUUGUACUCUAUUAUUUAUAUUUGUAUUUUUACUUUUAUGUCUUUCUGUAUGUUUGCUCAGUUUUAAUAUCCUAGCAAAAUGCAAAGAUUAAUUAUGAGAUGAAUAAAAUAAGUUAUUACUAUUAUACAGUUUUAUGUUUUCCUUCUCUCUGAUCUAUUCGAUCUUAAUUAGUCCUUUUUUUGGUCUUAUUUCUUCAUCUUUAUAUCGAAGGCGAGGCUCAACGAUUACAUUAAAUCAAUCAUCAUACAGAUAAAAUUGAUGACAAAUUUAACGUUAAGAUAUCAUCAAAAUCUCAAUAACAAUUUACAGAUCGAAAUCUUAGUAUCGAUUGAUUAAUAACCUAAACUUUCGCCAUGAAGACUUGAAUCCCUAAUCCCGUCCUUCAUUUCCCAUAUCUCUACCCACACAUUAUCUUUUAAGAAAGAAGAAGUAACAACCAAAAUAAACAUUAUAUCUAAAGUGAUAAUAUGAUAACAAUACAAAUAGGCAACAAUACAAUUAAAGAAAAAAAAAAAAGUUACUCCCACGAUGUCAACACGUAUGCUAGACUGACCAAUAAAGUUAGACAAAUUUCAAAAUUGACAAUAGCAAAGUAUACGUACGUAGCAUAUAGCAACCAAUCAAUGAAUAAAUUAUUCCUAAAGUAGUCAUUAUCAUCUCAUAUACUAUAUUUGGUAAAAUACUAAGAUUAAGUCAACAUAAUUCAGUCUACCGUUUGGUAAUUUAUAACAAAUAGUGACAAUAUUAAUAAAGUGAUUGGUGCUCUCUUUUGGCCCACCCCCAAGAAGAUCGUGAACGCAUAUUUUAAAUUUGAUUUGAUUACCACUUUUUAAUAUCUUUAAAAUAAAACUUGUAUAUUUAAAAAAUUAAAAAUUAUUAUUAUUAUUUAAUUAUAUAAAUAAAAUAUUUUAAAAUACAUUAGUAUCUUAAUAGAGAAAAGAUUAAAAAAUUAAAAAUUAUUAUUAUUAUUUAAUUAUAUAAAUAAAAUAUUUUAAAAUACAUUAGUAUCUUAAUAGAGAAAAGAUUGUUUGUUUGAUUUUCUAAAGUAACAGAGUCGGAUGAGAUAGUUGAUUAAUUUGACGGUUUGAAUAAUAUAAUCUUCUUGAUAAAUAAUCAUCAACCCAUCAUGCAUGUUUUAUAUUUAUUGAUAGAAACUUUGAUGGAUUGAUUUGUUGGUGCCGCCUCAACAUAGAGAAAAGAAAAAGAACAAGUUAUUUCAAUCUAUUACACUUUAGAGAUUAAAAAAAACAUUUUUUAAAGCAGUGAUAAAAUUGAUAAUAAUAAGUUGUUAAUAUGUUUGGCAAAAAGAGUGUCGAUUAACUAUUUUUUGCUAUAGUAUUGAAAUAUCUUUAGAUUUUUUAACCCCCAAAAAAGGUUUAAAACUACCUCUGUAAAGAAAAGGAGUUUAUUUUUAGAAAAUAUAUCUCGAGAAAUAAAGUAAGAUAAAGGAUAAAAUCGUGAAAGAAAAAUGUUGAUAAGCAAACAAAAAAAUCAAAGUUAGGAAUGACCAAUUUAUUGAAUAUAACUAAAUUGUCUUAAAUAAGCAACUUAGCUUAUAAAUAUAUAUAUAAAAUUAUUUUUAUAUCAGUUUGAUCAAUUAAUAAUAAAUUGAUUAUGCAUGAAAUAAUAGGAAGUGUUCUAAUUAAAAAGAAUACAAGGAAAAAGGUGCAGUAUUGUGUACGAUCGACCAAACAUACAUUCGUUAUUAAUUAUUAUUAAGCUAAUUAGACAACGCUAUCUUAUUAAUUUAUUAUAGAGCUGUCGAUAUUAGUUUAGAUAAUUAAAUUAUAUAAAAUUCAUUUAAUUCAAUCAAAGCUUGACUUGUUAAAUGUUAGGUUUAUGAUAUGAUUAAUUAUAUAUAUAAUUCACUAUGAUUUUACGCGACUUGUUAAUCAAGACCUUAUUUAACAUAUUGAUUAAGUUAUUAGUUAUAUAACUAAUAAAAAUAUAUUUUAAAUAAUAAAUGGUUAUUGAGAGAAAACUUCCAUGCAAUUAUCAUAAUAAGAAACUUCUUAAGAAAUUGUCUCUAAUUAGAUAAUUGGAUGGUGACUCUUUUGUUUAAAAAAAAUUGAAUCAAUCAAGAUUUUAUUGCUAUUAAUUGUGAACUACAAUUUGUAGAAGGGGAGCAUAAACCUAGAUAUUAACUAUGCACAACAUGAGUGUGCAAGAUUAUUUUGUUUAUUUAUUUUGAUUCAAUUCAGUAUCCGAUAUUCAUAUUAGAUUCUCAAUCAAAUUUGUAUUUACAUUAAAAAAAUUCAGUGCUCCUUAACAGAGGCAACAACUCUGUACUCAGGAGAACUCGAAUUCGAGACCUCUAAACAAGAAUAAAGAAGUAUUUGUUAUUCCAUAACAAUUUUUAUUGAUAAAAGAAACUCGUAGUAUCAUGAAAAGAUAAUAGAUUAUCUAGGCCUAAUGGAAAAUUCAGUCAAGCUUUAGAGGGAAAAUUAUGGCAUAGCAAAGUUACAAACUUUAUAGUAUGAUUAACUUAAUUACAAGACCGUUAAAUUGAAUGCAACCCCAAUAACUUUUCUUUCAAUAAAUAUUUGGCCUUUGUGAGCUUUAUUUGAACUCUCUCUUCCUUCAUAAACUUGACCAUCAGCAAUAUUUUCCUUUCCUCUUUUAUUUUAUUGCUCACUCGAUAGUCAGCUUUUAAGAUUGACUUGAUGUUUCGAUAAGCGAAAGGUGUAAAUCCAGAUUAUGCUCAAGUAUCUAAGUGAUAUAUGAAUUGCAAACUUUUUGCAUAUGCAUUUGAGAAGAAAAUAAUUAUCACAAGAAAAUAAAUAAUUAGCAUGCGGUAAAUUAUUAACGUAGUUAAAUAAUGUUAUAGUCUUAUAAAUUAAAAUAAAGACAAGGCAACAAUUGUCACUAAUUAUUUGUAUUGUUAGCAACAAAAACUAAGAGAACAUAAAUAAUAUAUACUUAAUGGCUCAAUUUUACACCAUUUCACUAUAAAUAACUUUAUGUCGCUAAUUUGAUUACAUAUUUUUGUGACGAAACUUAUUUUGUAUCCAAACUUAAACGAAUUUAAAGAUAAAUAUGAUUUAUCAUAAAUAUUCAGUAAAAACAGGGAGAAAAUUUAUCAUCAUCAAUAUCCUCAAUUUCGUCGCUAAAAUUACCUUACAAUUUGAUUUAAUUAUAAAUUGAAAAUCAAAUUUAAAAAUGAUUAAAUUUGUGAUGUUGGUGCAAAAUGCACGUAUCAAAUUAAACCCACCUUUAGGUCUAAGAAAAUGGUGAGCACAUCUUAACCAUUAUUCUUCAACUCAUUUCAUCUCUUCCUCAAUUAAUUAUGCAAAUAAUAAAAAUAUUUCUUUUUCCAUUCAAUGUCUGUGUUUUAUAUUGAAGUUCCAAUUAACUCUAGAUUAGAAACCGGAGGCGAGGGCACAUUUAAAGGUGAUGCUUCCUAUACGACUCAUGUAGUAAAAAAAAUUAUAAAAAAAACCACCACAAUAAUUAUAUACGCUUCAAAAAAAAGAAGAGAAUAGAAUAGCAUCCUAUUCAUAGAGAAAACUAUACUUGAUAGUUAACUGGUAGCAAAACUUUUGCACAAGAUUAAUUAUAUUUGUAUAGUUGAUUUAUUCAAGGUUUUAAUUAGAAGAGGUCUAGGAUUCUAUUUAUUUUUAUCCAUAUUUUUUAAACAAUAAAUUUGCUACAAAAGGAUGUCUGUGACAAAUCAUGUCUCCUAAAUAUAAGCACUUGUGUGAAGGUUAGUUGAGUGUAAAGUUGAGGCAUCCACGCAUUUUUUUUUUCAAAGGUUCUGUAAAAAGAAAACAAGAUUUUGUAGCUCUUUGAAUCAUUCUGUCACAAACAGUAUAGUUCCCUUAAUAGUUUAUACAUUUGCUUAGGAUGAUGCCUCUAUAUAUCUAUCAAAUUAAAUAUACAAACUAAAGUCAAAAUUGAGCCAACAACAUGUCAAGACUAAAUAAACAUAUGCAUAACUCUACCAUAUUACCUACAUUUGUAUAAAUUUUGGUAAGGGUAAUUUCUAAAUGAAGUCUAUAUAAAGGGGUUUGGGUGAAGCUUAAGAGGACAAAAACUUCUCUCCUUUGUUUCAAAUAUAGGGAAAAUGGCCUCUCUAGUUGCAACUCUUUUAGUGGUUUUAGUGUCACUUAGCUUACCAUCCGAAAGUUCAGCUAAUUAUCAAUACACAUCUCCCCCACCACCAAAGGAGUCAUACCACCCUUCACCAACACCUUAUCAUCCCGUACCACUUUACAAGUCUCCACCACUGCCAACUCCAGUUUACAAUUUUCCACCACCACCCAGAGAGACGUACUACCCUCCACACACUCCAGUGUACAUGCCGUCACCACCCUCGACACAAAUUUACAAGUCGCCACCACCACCCAAGGAGCCAUAUUACCCUCCACACACCCCAACCUACAAGUCGCCACCUCCACCAACUCCUAUUUACAAGUCUCCACCGCCGCCAACUCCCUUUUACAAUUCUCCACCACCACCCAAGGAGCCAUACUACACUUCGCCACCUCCACCAACUCCUACUUACAAGUACCCACCGCCACCAACUCCGGUUUACAAUUCUCCACCACCACCUAAGGAGCCAUACUACCCUCCACACACCCCAACCUACAAGUCGCCACCUCCACCAACUCCUGCUUACAAGUCUCUACCGCCGCCAAUUCCAGUUCACAAUUCUCCACCAUCACCCAAGGAGCCAUACUACCCUCCACACACCCCAACCUACAAGUCGCCACCUCCACCAACUCCUGCUUACAAGUCUCUACCGCUGCCAAUUCCAGUUCACAAUUCUCCACCAUCACCCAAGGAGCCAUACAACCCUCCACACACCCCAACCUACAAGUCGCCACCUCCACCAACUCUUGCUUACAAGUCUCCACCGCCACCAACUCCGAUUUACAAUUCUCCACCACCACCCAAGGAGCCAUACUACCCUCCACAUACCCCAACCUACAAGUCGCCACCUCCACCAACUCCCAUUUACAAGUCGCCACCGUCACCAACUCCGGUUUACGAUUCUCCACCACCACCCAAGGAGCUAUACUACCCUCCACACACCUCAACCUACAAGUCGCCACCACCACCGAAUGAGCCAUACUACCCUCCACACACACCAACAUACAAGUCGCCACCUCCACCAAUUCCAAUCUACAAGUCACCACCUCUUCCAACUCCUAUUUACAAGUCGCCACCACCACCCAAGGAGCCAUACUACCCUCCACAUACUCCACUUUCACCGUCUUCAGUUUAUAAGUCUCCACCUCCACCAACUCAUGUUUACAAGUCGCCGCCACCACCUAUAGAGCCAUACUACCCUCCACACACCCCAAUCUAUAAGUCGCCACCUCCACCGAUUCCUGUUUACAAUUCACCACCUCCACUAACUCCAGUUUAUAAGUCACCACCACCACCCAAAGAGCCUCACUACCCUCCACACACCCCAGUGUAUAAGUCACCACCACCACCCAAGGAGCCAUACUAUUCUCCACAAAAUCCAGUCUACAAGUCGCCACCUCCACCAACUCCCAGUUACAAGUCGCCAACACCACCCAAGGAGCCAUAUUAUCCUCCACAUACCCCAACUUACAAGUCACCACCUCCACCAACUCCAGUAUACAAGUCGCCGCCACCACCCAAGGAGCCAUACUACCCUCCACACACCCCGACCUACAAGUCGCCACCACCACCGAAGGAGUCAUACUAUCCUCCACACACCCCAACCUACAAGUCACCACCUCCACCAACUCCUGUUUCCAGCUCUCCACCACCACCAACUCCAGUCUACAAGUUUCCACCACCAACAGAUUAUGUUUACACCUCUCCCCCUCCUCCCUACUAUUACUAAGAAGAGAUUUCAUUAUAUCUAAGGUAAUUAAACCAAACUAAAACUUUUAAUUAUGAUAUGUCUAUAGAAGUUGCACAAUUUCUUCGUUCGAAUAAUUAAUAUAGACCUGUAUACUGUCUACAUCUUAUUUGGUUUAGGUUCUAUUAUAUGUUCUCAUUCACAAUACUAAUUAUAUUCUUAUGCAGGAAAGAUGCAGAAUGUUGAGCUAAAAGAAAAUAAGCCCACACAGGAGGCAAAGUUUUUUUGUAGCUUCAUUUUGUAUAAGUUAUUGUUUGUACCCUAUAUUAUAUUUAUAUUUUACUUCUAUUUAUUUGUGUAAUAUGUUUGUUCGAUCUCCUUGCAACAUGCAGCCAUUAUGAGAUGUAUAAAAUAUGUUAUUACUAUAUAUACUGUCUUUUUUCUUAUUUUUGUCAUCCCUUAUAUUGAGUUAUAUUUAUAAGUUGAGCCUCUUAUCAAUUACAUUAAAUCAGUUGCUAUAAAAAAUGUGGUUUUUCACCACCAAUAAGUUCAACGAUAAGCUACAAUCAACUGGGAAUAUUAGUAGCUUCAAUAGAAAAUGUUAAUAGCUCCGUUGAUUAGUUAUUUGAACUUUUUAUCUUUAUUACACGUCGCAAUAACAAUCAAUGUAAAUAUUAUAUCUAACCUCUGGACUUAUGCCCACAUAAUUCCUCAAUGCACCCACACAAAAUAUUGAAAUUAAAUAUUAUUACUUGCCUAUUUCUCUUAUCUUGAUUAUUAGUUUUCAGGGAUGAAAGUUUAAUUGUUACACCUUUCACUUUUUUAAAAAAAAAAAAAAGGAAUGGACAACCAACUGAUUUCGUAUCUGAUUGUAGUUGUUGAAGGCAUAUUGUAAUAAUUAAAUUUUCGUUUUUGAAAAAUAAUAAUCAAAAAAUAGAAAAUAUCAAUAAAUAAUAAUAUUUAAUUUUAUUUAUUUGUGCACGAUUUAACAAUCAUUAGAGAUUUCACACUAAAAUGUUUAAUUUUUUUGUUUUUUCUUUUUUUCUCUUCAUGACUAUCAACUCAAAAGUUUUGCUUUUUACCUGAAUUGAUGGAAUACUUGUUGAAAGUUUACCACGAAUGCAUAAUCAAUUUUUAAUCACAUUCGAGGAGGCAUAAAACGACUCACAACUUGAAGGCAAAAAAGAGUUGUAUGCAGAAGACUGCAAAUCAUUAUUGAAUAUUUUUUUAUAUAGGCAUCAGCUAGGGUUUGAAAUAUUUGAUCUAAUCGACUUUAGGUUUGAGAAUAUGAGUUGUGUUGGAUUAGACUUGUAAAUUUAAUAAUGGACUAACCUAAAUUUAAUCGAAAAAUUACCUAACUACAUAUAUAUUUUUUUAUCCUAUUUUCUAUUAUUUCAUAUAAUUUAUAAAAAUUACAAAAAUCUUUUUUUUCUCUCAAAUUCGCUCCUUUCAAGAUUCAUAACUUUAAAUCUUCCAACUCACAAUUUCUCCUUUUUCUCAGGCCUAUAAUCGCUCUACUAUAUUACUAGUUACCUUCAUCUCCUAUAUUUUGAAUUUUAGAUAUUUUUCUCUCUCCCGUUUAUAAUUUAAUUGAGUAUGUAUCAUAUGUUUGUUAUGUAUGUGAAGUACUAUUUUAUAACUAAAUCAUUGUUUAUCAUAUUCAUAAGUUUUUUUUAUAUGAUACAUAGCUAUGUCAAAUUAUACCGGCAUGAUACAUAAAUACUAAUUUAUGCUACAUGUAACGAUCUCAAAUCAAACAACUUAUGAGCAACAAUUACAUGUUAAAUGUAUCCCGUAACAAUACGAUACUUAUUAAUUUAAACGAGAUAAAUAAAUAGUAAUGUAUCAUGUAUUAGUUUUUAGAUGUGAUACAUAAAUUCGAAUUUGGACUACAUGUAUUAAUUACAUAGAAACUACCACGCGGUGAUGUAUCCAUCACAAAUGUAACAUCUUAUGGGCAACAAUUACUUAUUUAAUGUAUCUACUAUAAAUACAAUACUAAUCAAUUGAGACGAGAUACACAAAUAGUAAUGUAUCAUGCAAAAAAAUUUUUUACUUGAUAUGUGAAUUCGAAUUUAUACUAAAUGUAUCAAUUACAUAGCAACUACCACAUUGUAAUGUAUCGAUCUCGAAUUCAACAUCUUAUGGACUAUAAUUAUUUAUUUAGUGUAUUUAGUAUAAAUACAAUACUUAUCAAUUUAAACAAGAUACAUAAAAGUAAAAUGCUAAGUAGACAAGAUAUUCAUGAUAAUAUUCUCAAUUUUUUUGAGAUUCUUCAAUAAACUAGGAGAAGAAUUCUGAAUCUCAAAAUUUACAACAAUUUUGAAUCAAAAUUAAAAAGAUCUUUGAUGAACUGGAGAACAAAGAAUCUUAAUCUCAAAAUUUUUAACAAUCUUGAAUCAAAACUGAAAGGAAUAUCUUUGAUGAUCUUGAAGAUUCAAAAGAAAAUUGUUUAUCCAACAACAAUUUUGUCACUUUUGUAUCAUUCAUAAUUCACUUCGCUUACCCAAAAUUUCGACAAAAGUUUUUGGAUCAAAUGUGAAAGGUUUCUUUGUUGAACGGGGGGAUCAACUAGAAAUUUUAAAUUUCUUCGUUCUGUAUGGAUUUGAUUCUGUAUGAUUGAGAGUAAAAAGAAAUAUAAGCGUAAUUUAUGGAAUUUAAUUAGUUUUCAGAUUUUAUUUUCUUUUUAGCGCAACAGAAAGAUUCUUUUUGUAUUAAAAUUAGUGUAUCUAGAUGGUGGUGACUUAUGUAUUUGUUGAAGGAAGCUGAUGGAACAGGUUUGGUAGUAUAUGACUUUUUUCCUAUAUAAGGAUGAUGUAACUCAAUCAUUCAUUCAUCAAUAUAAUCCUUGAUUCUUCACAUACAUAUCUGUGAGAAUUCUACAUCCGAAAGGUACAAAUUUUAACGGAUCAUUUUAUUAGAAAAAAAUAGAGAUAAAAUAUAAUGUAUUCUUUACAUUACGAAGUUUACGUAAGUUAAUCAAAUUUGAUUAAACUUCCCUUAAAUCAUAAAAGUUUAACUUAAUAUUAUUCCAACUUUAUUAUAGAUAUAUAUAAUUGGAAAAAAAAACAAACAAAAUAGAACAUAAGAUCUCGAUCGCUGGACAAAUGUUUGUCUAUAAUAAAUAAAUAUGUCGGUAAUAAUUAUUGACUAGGUCAAUGUAGCUAAGGUUUGUACUUGUUUAUACUUACAUCCUAUCUCUUGGGACGAUUAAAAAAAUAUUAGUUUAGCUUAUUUAAUAAUGGAAUCUUAUAUGGAGUUUACUAAUUUUAUCUUUGUCGGUGAUUAAGUUAUACAAAUGAUUAAUUAUUUUUCUAAUUAAAAAGUCAAAAGUCAUUAUUGGAUGAACCAAGAAUCUUCCAUGUAUUUGAAUACUUUUUCUGUCUCCCUUAAAUCGUGAUGGCUUUUUUGUAAGUUAAAUAAUAAAAAAUUUUAUUAAUGUUUUGUUGAUAUAAGAAAUUAUAAAAUAAGUAUUUUUGUAUAAUAUAUUUAAAUUUUUAAUUUAAAUUUAAAUUUUAAAAAUUAGUUAUAUUAACUGUUAAAAAACCGUACAACGACUAAAACGGGACGGCUUGUUCUCUUCUUUCUUUUAUUAUAAAUAAAAAUAAAAAUUUAACUAAUGUGCAAUCAAUAAUGUUAAUUAUUUAUUCAAAGUUUAAAUUAAACACAUAAAAGUGAAAAGUAUAAAGCCUUCAACCGAUUCGAUUCAUUUAAUUAUGUUUCUUAAGAUAUUCCAUAUUUUCAAAUUUUAAAGAGAACUAUAAAUUCCUACAUUUAAAACUACAUACAUUAUUAAAAUGUGCCUAUAUAACACGCAUUUAAAUUAGUUGUGCUCAAAUAUAGAUAUCAAACAAGGAAUAAAACAUAAAGUGAAUUACUUAAACUAUAAUUAUAUAUUAAGUAAUUAAAUCAAAUCGUGUAAUUUAAUUAAUUAUACUACCAAAAUAUUAACUUCAACGAUAUGAAGUAACGCAAUGUACCUUUAAAGUUUCACAAAAUUUAAUUAGGUUGUAAGGUUUGAUUCUUGAAAUUUAGAAAUUAUUUUCAAGUGAUUUGAGUACAUUGAAAGUACCUAAGUCAAUAAAGUCAAAAAUAAAUUAAUUUUUACUUUGUAUCGUGACCUGUAUUCUACAUCUUGUGUGUUCCCACGAUAAUAAACUAAGAUACCAAAAAUUUCAUAGAUAUUAUAUUUAAUCAUAUAAAUUUUUUCAAUAUUGAGCUACAUAAUCCGUUGAAUUUUUUGCCCUCUAUUCCCACCUAAAACUAAAAAGAAAGAACAACAUUAAUUGCUUUAUUUAGUAAUGAAAGUGGGUCAUUAUAUAUAUAUAUAUAUAUAUAUAUAUAUAUAUAUAUAUAUAUAUAUAUAUAUAUAUAUAUAUAUUAUUUUAUUUUAUUUUAUUUUAUUUUUUUGACAACUAGGGAAACCUGAGCCGCUAUCCUAUAAAAUAGCUCGCAAAUCACAUAGGAGAGGUAACCUGCACUAGGCAAGCCUGGUGCAACGAGCUUGACCCAGAAGGCAAAUCUCUUGCUUUCGCUGGCAAGGGGUUUCAAACUUGAGACCUCCAAUAUGGAAGUUUCAAGCUCAAACCAUUGGGCCACCCCGAAGGGUUAUAUAUAUAUAACUUUUAGUAAUAUUAGAUAUUGACAUUAAUAAAGAGUGUUAAAGUCUUUAUCGGUAUCAGUUAAGUGUCAUUAGAACCAAUGUUGCUAAAGGCUUUAGGGACACAUACAAAGAAAGUUAUUGCCGCUAAAAACACUUAUUUGGCGACGUUUGAAAAUUAAUUGCCAAUAAUGAUUAUUUUUAAUAUAGUGUAUAUAUGUAUUAUUGUUUUAAAUCUCUAUACUAUUUAAGCACUAAAGGUAAUUAAAGGUUAGUUUAUCAAUCAAAAUCAAAAAAAAAUAAAUUGUUACUCCCUUAGUUCGUUUCAUAGUAGUUGAUCAUCUUACUAAAAAUAAUUGUUACACAUUAAUUGUCCAUCUUAUUAAAUCAAGAAAUCAAUAAUUAAUUUUUUCCUAUAUUAUCUAUUCAGAUAAUUCUUUUGAAAGUAUUAACAUUUGUUUGUAAAAUGUAAAAGAAGUUUUCAAGGGGUGAAUUAAUAAAAUUAUCUAGCUAGUUAAUAAAAAUGAUGGGUGAAAUAAUAUUAUCUAGCUACUUAAUAAAAAUAAUCAACUAAUAUGAGACACAUAAAAAUAGAAUUCUUCAAAUAUUUUGUAACAAAAAAAAAAAGAAAAAAGGCAGUGUACACUGAUUUUUGUAACUAAAAAUCGUGCGAAGUUGAGGGAUGCACGCAUUUUUUUCAAAGAUUUUGUAUGUAUGUAAUGUAAAAGCUUGGAAGAAAAAGAAGACUUUGUAGCUCUUUGAAUUAUUGCAUCACAAGAUGUAAAGAAAAUUGUAUGGUUGUCUUAAUAGUUUAUACAUUUUUGCUUAGCUUGCACCCUCUAUCCAAUAAAUAAAGUCAAAUUGAGCCAACAACAUGACAAAACCAAUUAUAAAAAUGAAUAAAAACUUUACCUACAUUUAUGUAAAUCUUGGUAAGGGUAAUUGUCGAAAUGAAAGCUAUAUAAAGGGGUUUGAGUGAAACUUAAAGAGGACACCAACUUCUCUUCUUUGGUUUCAAAUAUGGGGAAAAUGGCCUCUCUAGUUGCUACUCUUUUAGUGGUUUUAGUGUCACUUAGCUUUGCUUCCGAAAGCUCAGCAAACUAUCAAUACUCAUCUCCUCCACCACCAAAGAAGCCAUACCACCCUUCACCAACACCUUAUCAUCUCGCACCAGUUUACAGAUCACCACCACCACCAACUCCACUUUACAAGUCACCACCACCACCUAAGGAGCCACACUAUCCUCCACACACCCCGGUUUACAAGUCGCCACCUCCUCCAGCUCCAAUUUACAAGUCACCACCACCACCGGUGAAGCCAUACCAUCCAGCACCAGUUUAUAAGUCACCACCACCCCCUACGCCUGUUUACAAGUCACCACCACCACCAGUGAAGCCACACCAUCCUGCACCAGUAUACAAGUCUCCACCACCACCAACUCCAGUUUAUAAGUCACCACCUCCUCCAACACCCGUUUACAAGUCACCACCACCACCAGUGAAGCCAUACCAUCCUGCACCAGUAUACAAGUCACCACCACCUCCAACACCCAUUUACAAGUCACCACCACCACCAGUGAAGCCAUACCAUCCUGCACCAGUAUACAAGUCACCACCACCUCCAACACCCGUUUACAUGUCACCACCACCACCAGUGAAGCCAUACCAUCCUGCACCAGUAUACAAGUCACCACCACCUCUAACACCCGUUUACAAGUCACCACCACCACCAGUGAAGCCAUACCAUCCUGCACCAGUAUACAAAUCUCCACCACCACCAACUCCAAUUUACAAGUCACCUCCACCACCAGUGAAGCCAUACCAUCCUGCACCAGUAUACAAGUCUCCACCACCACCAACUCCAGUUUAUAAGUCACCACCACCACCGGUGAAGCCAUACCAUCCUACACCUGUGUACAAGUCUCCACCACCACCAACUCCUGUUUACAUGUCCCCACCACCACCAGUGAAGCCAUACCAUCCUACACCUGUGUACAAUUCUCCACCACCACCAACUCCCGUUUACAUGUCCCCACCACCACCAGUGAAGCCAUAUCAUCCUACACC
This 23979-nucleotide long non-coding RNA is filed under the name Solanum melongena (eggplant). RNAcentral describes it as "long non-coding RNA (SMEL_LNC000097)". The record is from RNAcentral. Lineage: Eukaryota; Viridiplantae; Streptophyta; Magnoliopsida; Solanales; Solanaceae.